GAUGAACGCUGGCGGCGUGCCUAACACAUGCAAGUCGAACGGAGUCCAGCCUUUAAGACCUUCGGGUCAAAGAGGGGAAGACUGAGUGGCGGACGGGUGAGUAACACGUGGGCAACCUGGCUCAUAGAGGGGGAUAACAGAGAGAAAUUUCUGCUAAUACCGCAUAAGCACACACUGCCGCAUGGCAGAGGGUGAAAAGAGAAUCGCUAUGAGAUGGACCCGCGUCUGAUUAGCCAGUUGGCAGGGUAAGAGCCUACCAAAGCGACGAUCAGUAGCCGAUCUGAGAGGAUGAACGGCCACAUUGGGACUGAGACACGGCCCAAACUCCUACGGGAGGCAGCAGUGGGGGAUAUUGCACAAUGGGGGGAACCCUGAUGCAGCGACACCGCGUGAGUGAAGAAGUAUUUCGGUAUGUAAAGCUCUGUCAGCAGGGAAGAUAAUGACAGUACCUGAAUAAGAAGCCCCGGCUAACUACGUG
RNAcentral lists this ribosomal RNA (478 nucleotides) under uncultured bacterium. RNAcentral describes it as "partial 16S ribosomal RNA". It matches the Rfam family "Bacterial small subunit ribosomal RNA", at positions 28 to 507 of the family's 1533-position model. The record is from RNAcentral.